RNAcentral lists this ribosomal RNA (617 nucleotides) under uncultured bacterium. RNAcentral describes it as "bacterial SSU rRNA". The stretch from base 1 to 518 matches the Rfam family "Bacterial small subunit ribosomal RNA", at positions 338 to 873 of the family's 1533-position model. The record is from RNAcentral.
CCUACGGGAGGCAGCAGUGGGGAAUAUUGGACAAUGGGCGAAAGCCUGAUCCAGCAAUGCCGCGUGAGUGAUGAAGGCCUUAGGGUUGUAAAGCUCUUUUACCCGGGAUGAUAAUGACAGUACCGGGAGAAUAAGCUCCGGCUAACUCCGUGCCAGCAGCCGCGGUAAUACGGAGGGAGCUAGCGUUGUUCGGAAUUACUGGGCGUAAAGCGUACGUAGGCGGUUAUUCAAGUCAGAGGUGAAAGCCUGGGGCUCAACUCCAGAACUGCCUUUGAAACUAGAUAGCUAGAAUCAUGGGGAGGUCAGUGGAAUUCCGAGUGUAGAGGUGAAAUUCGUAGAUAUUCGGAAGAACACCAGUGGCGAAGGCGACUGACUGGACAUGUAUUGACGCUGAGGUACGAAAGCGUGGGGAGCAAACAGGAUUAGAUACCCUGGUAGUCCACGCCGUAAACGAUGAUAACUAGCUGUUCGGACCUUUAAGGUUUGAGUGGCGCAGCUACGACAUUAAGUUAUCCGUCCGUCGGGUAGGUACGGUCGGCGAGAAGUUAAACGUUAAAGUUAAGUAAGUUAGUAACGGUCGUGUUAGAGUGUUCGACGGACGACGACGAGGGAGGAGG